RNAcentral lists this ribosomal RNA (503 nucleotides) under uncultured bacterium. RNAcentral's name for it is "partial 16S ribosomal RNA". It matches the Rfam family "Bacterial small subunit ribosomal RNA", at positions 30 to 523 of the family's 1533-position model. The record is from RNAcentral.
AUUGAACGCUGGCGGCAGGCUUAACACAUGCAAGUCGAGCGGGGUGAUGGUGCUUGCACUAUCACUUAGCGGCGGACGGGUGUGUAAUGCUUAGGAAUCUGCCUAUUAGUGGGGGACAACAUCUCGAAAGGGAUGCUAAUACCGCAUACGUCCUACGGGGGGAAGCAGGGGAUCACUUGUGACCUUGCGCUAAUAGAUGAGCCUAAGUCGGAUUAGCUAGUUGGUGGGGUAAAGGCCUACCAAGGCGACGAUCUGUAGCGGGUCGGAGAGGAUGAUCCGCCACACUGGGACUGAGACACGGCCCAGACGCCUACGGGAGGCAGCAGUGGGGAAUAUUGGACAAUGGGCGGAAGCCUGAUCCAGCCAUGCCGCGUGUGUGAAGAAGGCCUUUUGGUUGUAAAGCACUUUAAGCGAGGAGGAGGCUACUUAGAUUAAUACUCUAGGAUAGUGGACGUUACUCGCAGAAUAAGCACCGGCUAACUCUGUGCCAGCCGCCGCGGUAA